Microcebus murinus (gray mouse lemur) is the source of this 1413-nucleotide non-coding RNA. The record is from RefSeq and is a predicted model, not a curated record. NCBI's taxonomy places the organism in Eukaryota, Metazoa, Chordata, Mammalia, Primates, Cheirogaleidae.
CGUGCGCCGGGCCCUCAGUCACGCUCGCGCCGCUCGCUCCGUGCUCCGGCGGCGGCGAAAAGACACGCUCGGCGGCGGCAGGGCGCGGGUUCCCCUUGCUCUGCGGCUUUGGCAGAAAGCAACGAGCAGCAGCGGUUGCCGAGCGUUUCUGUGGCACAGCAGACUGCGGGCAUCGCCACCCCGGGACACUCCCUGCAGCUCAAGUCGUUGGCAGCCCGGUACCAAACCUUGCUGCCACCAGCACAAGGCGUUAAUAAGCUGGGCCUCCGUACAGGGAAGCAGUCCCAGGAACUGGAGCUGUGGAGCCAACUUGCCUGGCUUCCCAGUCAUUCUGCCAUUUCCUGGUGUGGCCUUGGGCAAGCUGAUUAAUCUUGCUGGCCUCAGUCCCCCAUCUGCAGAAUGGGUGGGGGACAGUAGGCAGGGAAAGAAUUCACAUCCAUGACGUGCUUGCAGGAGUGACCGGCAUGUCGUGCCAGUCCUGUGUGUGUGUUAGCAGCUGUUAUUUCUCUUUGGUUAUUUCUCUUUUGUUAUUUCUCUAUGGUUCUUUAAGAAGCCGGAGUUUUCUUCAGUCUUCUUGCCUUCUCCUUGUUGCUGCUUCUGACCGAGGAGAAGAGCAGUCAGUGGCAUCUGCUCCCGGCUUCUGCUCUCGCCUCCGACCCCAGCUUCCCCACUAAUGGAGGAGAACAGCUCUCCAGCUCCCGAGCUCUAAUGAACUAAUUAAUUUUUCUAUUUCUCUAACUGUUCUCUCUUCCCUGCCAAGCCCUGUGGGUAUCUGUUUUGUUCAUUUGUUCAAGCUGGGACUUUGAGAGGUAGGCUGGAGGCAUCUCUACUCCCCAAAUUGCUGAAGCACACACUCGAGGCUUUAGCAUCCGUGCAUGAUGUCUCACCGCCAGAGACAACAGCAGCCUCCCGGGACGCAGGAGGGAAACCACCACAGACGUGUGCGUCUGCACCCCUGGCCGGGCCUCCCUUUCCCACAGUAGGAAGGGGAAGACCUGGAGAUUUGUGGGUCUGGUGAUCAAGAUUCCUCUGUGUUCGUGUGGAAAGGUCACCGGGUGGGGGCCGGGUCAGGGUGGGGACUGGGUUAGGAGGAGAUGGGAGCUGGGGCUCGGGUGGGCAGCAGGAGUCAGGUCCAGCCCAGAUUUUGAAGUAGAGCCAUCGGGACCAUGCAAGGAGCGGGCAGAGUGUCCACCUGGGUCAGUGGCCUGAGGUGGAGGAGCAGGAAGCAUCUCUUUAGGGAAUGUUGGGUUGGAGGCGUCCGUCGCGUGUCCCUGGGGAGAUGUCCAGGAGACGGCUGGACACAGAGGCUUGCAUUUGGGAGAAGAGCUGGUCUGGAAUGGCCCGUCGGGGAGCAAGCCCUGCGCAGCUGGUGUGUGGCUGGCAUUUAGCAGGGCAGCACUGGCUGAGCUUGCA